GAGGGUUUGAUCCUGGCUCAGAUUGAACGCUGGCGGCAGGCCUAACACAUGCAAGUCGAGCGGAUGAAGGGAGCUUGCUCCUGGAUUCAGCGGCGGACGGGUGAGUAAUGCCUAGGAAUCUGCCUGGUAGUGGGGGAUAACGUCCGGAAACGGGCGCUAAUACCGCAUACGUCCUGAGGGAGAAAGUGGGGGAUCUUCGGACCUCACGCUAUCAGAUGAGCCUAGGUCGGAUUAGCUAGUUGGUGGGGUAAAGGCCUACCAAGGCGACGAUCCGUAACUGGUCUGAGAGGAUGAUCAGUCACACUGGAACUGAGACACGGUCCAGACUCCUACGGGAGGCAGCAGUGGGGAAUAUUGGACAAUGGGCGAAAGCCUGAUCCAGCCAUGCCGCGUGUGUGAAGAAGGUCUUCGGAUUGUAAAGCACUUUAAGUUGGGAGGAAGGGCAGUAAGUUAAUACCUUGCUGUUUUGACGUUACCAACAGAAUAAGCACCGGCUAACUUCGUGCCAGCAGCCGCGGUAAUACGAAGGGUGCAAGCGUUAAUCGGAAUUACUGGGCGUAAAGCGCGCGUAGGUGGUUCAGCAAGUUGGAUGUGAAAUCCCCGGGCUCAACCUGGGAACUGCAUCCAAAACUACUGAGCUAGAGUACGGUAGAGGGUGGUGGAAUUUCCUGUGUAGCGGUGAAAUGCGUAGAUAUAGGAAGGAACACCAGUGGCGAAGGCGACCACCUGGACUGAUACUGACACUGAGGU
This 750-nucleotide ribosomal RNA is filed under the name uncultured bacterium. Its description in RNAcentral is "bacterial SSU rRNA". It matches the Rfam family "Bacterial small subunit ribosomal RNA", at positions 8 to 752 of the family's 1533-position model. The record is from RNAcentral.